RNAcentral lists this ribosomal RNA (324 nucleotides) under uncultured eukaryote. RNAcentral's name for it is "partial 18S ribosomal RNA". It matches the Rfam family "Eukaryotic small subunit ribosomal RNA", at positions 1470 to 1796 of the family's 1831-position model. The record is from RNAcentral.
CCCUUAGAUGCUCUGGGCCGCACGCGCGCUACACUGGUCGAUGCAACGAGUUUCUUUCCUUGGCCGACAGGCCUGGGCAAUCUUUGAACAUCGAUCGUGAUCGGGAUAGAUUCUUGUAAUUUUUGAUCUUAAACGAGGAAUUCCUAGUAAACGCAAGUCAUCAGCUUGCAUUGAUUACGUCCCUGCCCUUUGUACACACCGCCCGUCGCACCUACCGAUUGAAUGGUCCGGUGAAAUCUCCGGACUGGCGUGAGUCGGAGCAAUCUGACAAACGCCGGAAAGUUGAUUAAACCUUNCNAUUUAUNGGAAGGUGAANUCGUANCA